RNA transcript from Poecilia latipinna (sailfin molly), 1954 nucleotides. It is a transcript of the gene named SH3 domain-containing kinase-binding protein 1, with no coding region annotated. Lineage: Eukaryota; Metazoa; Chordata; Actinopteri; Cyprinodontiformes; Poeciliidae. The transcript has 7 exons. The record is from RefSeq and is a predicted model, not a curated record.
UUUUUUUAAACAUGCUUUUUGCAUUUCCCUGAAAAAUAGAACUGCAGUUUCAGUUCAUAUUAAACCACAUAACAAAAUAGCCUCUUACAAUUUUUAGGGGGAAAAAGUAGCGUCAGUAUCUCUAGACUAAAAUCUAAUCAUCACUGUUGAUCUCUCAGUCCGUGGGAGCCAUUGCCCCCAUCGCCACCCGCCCCUUCUCCCCCCCAUCCCAUGAUAUUUGUUGCCCUGCUCUAAACUUAGCUGUGACAGAACCACUCCUCAUCACAACAUGCAUUGGAGUACAAAAGAUGGGAUCAAGUUUCCUCAGAUGCUGCUGCAUAUCAGUCGUGACGCAGUAAAAAAAUAAGCCUUGUGGUAUGAGGAACAGCUGCUUCUACAGUCACACCGGCAUUUAGAUUCUACUACUCUGAUGAACUAAUGGUCCCAAAUGGAGUUGUUUGCUCUUUAGUGGACUGGGAAGAAUUUCUACAUCCAAGAAACGUCAAACUUGACGCGAGGCUGCACUGAUUUCUGCAUGUUUCUUCUCUGCUCACUCGCUCUCGCCUGUCAUUUGGAGAUGUAGUCCAGCCAUGCUUUUUUUCUGCUUGUGCUCAACUGUGAUAUGAUGGGCAGCUAUAACUCAGCGCUCAUUCCUGACGCAGAAGAGUUUGAUUCCAUUGUAUGGUCGAGUCUGAACGAGCAGAGAGCUCCUGCUGCAGAUGAGACGCUACAGUCAGAGCUCCGUUCUCUGGGAAGUAUAAAAUUAAGACAAGUGUUUGCGUUGUGCUGCAAUGCCGCUCUCAAAACUUGCAGCCCUGUUUGAAAAGUGUGUCUGGUGUGUUUGUGUUCCCACUGUCCUUGGGAUAAAUUUAGCUUUCCUGAGCCGCCUCAUUCACACACAGACAUGUAUUGCAGCUGAAGAUAUCUGCUUUGGCUCCUUACUUGUGACAAAGGCCCAGAAACAGAUGAGUUCUGUCACAGAAAUUAAUAACUUGACCAGAAUCGAAAUUCUCUUCGGCGACUUUAUUGAAGACAAACUGGGACAAUGUCUCUUCAGUUUUGAUUAAGUAACAUUUAUGAUCGAGAAGGAAAGAAGAGAAAACCAAAGUGAAACAAUGAAUUCCUCAGCAAAUGAAGAGAGCACUCAGGAAACAAGUCAGAAUUGUUCCCCACUUCAAGCUGCAGACAAGAACAUGUCGAAGGAGUCUUUCUCCUCGCUGCUGCCGAAGGCUCUCUCUGCUGUGCUAAAUCCAGCAGUGCCCCCAACCCUCAACUCAGAUCCCCGACCAAGAAGCCCAGAGAAAAAUAUCAAGCCAAAUGUUGAACAGCUGCAGGCCGAGUUAAAAGACCUCAGGGACCAGUUUGAACAGAUGAAGAGUCAACACAACAAAGAAAUUAAACUGCUGAUGAAUGAGCUUGAUGAGGAGAAGAGGAUUCGCUUAACUCUACAGAUGGAAAUCCAGCGGAUGAAGAAACACAUGUCAAAAUGAACAAGAAGGAUUGGAUCAAGGGCAAGGGUUUCUGUUGUUACAUAGGCUUUAUGUAACUUUUUAAAGAAACUGACCAUGAAAAUAAUCUUUUUCGUGCUUUUUUUAAAAAGGAAAAUGGACAGUUUAUUAUUUCUUUGCUAAUGUAACUAAUGUUGUGAUGUGAGGAAGGUGCUUAUUAUAUUUUUGUUUGUAGCAAUAUCAAAUAAAUGCAUUCAUUCAAACACAGAAAAAUAUUUUUGCCAUCAUAAGCUGAAACGGAGAAAGUAGUUAAACCAGCAUUGAUGGAGAAGAAGCUGGACUGAAACAGUCUUUCUGAUGCGCUACCAGCAGCUUAUCUGUCAGCCAAUGUCAGUCAGUGGCAUCCUAAUACGAAGUUAGAAUCCUGGUGAAGCUAUCAAAGGAAACGAAGAAAUGAAGAAACAUUCACUUAAUAUAAAAUAUAAUAAAAUAUAAAUAAAACUCGGAGGUCAGAUAUUUUUAGUGAG